GGGCCCGUCGUCUAGCCUGGUUAGGACGCCGCCCUUACAAGGCGGAGGCCCGGGGUUCAAGUCCCCGCGGGCCCA
Molecule: transfer RNA, 75 nt
Filed under: Desulfurococcus sp.
Lineage: Archaea; Thermoproteati; Thermoproteota; Thermoprotei; Desulfurococcales; Desulfurococcaceae
Also listed under: 12 other names
Description: tRNA-Val
Rfam family: tRNA
About the family: Transfer RNA (tRNA) molecules are approximately 80 nucleotides in length. Their secondary structure includes four short double-helical elements and three loops (D, anti-codon, and T loops). Further hydrogen bonds mediate the characteristic L-shaped molecular structure. tRNAs have two regions of fundamental functional importance: the anti-codon, which is responsible for specific mRNA codon recognition, and the 3' end, to which the tRNAs corresponding amino acid is attached (by aminoacyl-tRNA synthetases). tRNAs cope with the degeneracy of the genetic code in two manners: having more than one tRNA (with a specific anti-codon) for a particular amino acid; and 'wobble' base-pairing, i.e. permitting non-standard base-pairing at the 3rd anti-codon position.
Source: RNAcentral